RNAcentral lists this ribosomal RNA (253 nucleotides) under uncultured bacterium. RNAcentral's name for it is "partial 16S ribosomal RNA". It matches the Rfam family "Bacterial small subunit ribosomal RNA", at positions 524 to 776 of the family's 1533-position model. The record is from RNAcentral.
UACAGAGGGUGCAAGCGUUGUUCGGAAUUAUUGGGCGUAAAGGGAGUGUAGGCUGUGAGGUAAGUCUUCUGUGAAAUCUACGGGCUUAGCCUGUAACGUGCAGAGGAAACUGCUUCGCUUGAGUGUCGGAGAGGAUAGGGGAAUACCCAGUGUAGAGGUGAAAUUCGUAGAGAUUGGGUGGAACACCAGUGGCGAAGGCGCCUAUCUGGCUGACAACUGACGCUGAGACUCGAAAGCAUGGGGAGCAAACAGG